GAUGAAGAACGUCAGCAAAAUGCGAUACUUGGUGUGAAUUGCAGAAUCCCGUGAACCAUCGAGUUUUUGAACGCAAGUUGCGCCCGAAGCCUUUUGGCCGAGGGCACGUCUGCCUGGGCGUCACGCAUCGCGUCGCCCCCCACAAUUCUCCGUAAAGGGAACGUGUGUUUUGGGGGCGGAUAUUGGUCUCCCGUGCUCAUGGCGUGGUUGGCCGAAAUAGGAGUCCUUUCGAUGGACGCACGAACUAGUGGUGGUCGUAAAAACCCUCGUCUUUUGUUUCGUGCUGUUGCUCGCAAGGUAAACUCUUUAAAAACCCCAAUGUGUCGUCUCUUGACGACGCUUCGACCGCGACCCCAGGUCAGGCGGGACUACCCGCUGAGUUUAAGCAUAUCAAUAAGCGGAGGA
This 405-nucleotide unclassified non-coding RNA is filed under the name soil metagenome. RNAcentral describes it as "partial contains 5.8S ribosomal RNA, internal transcribed spacer 2, and large subunit ribosomal RNA". The stretch from base 1 to 123 matches the Rfam family "5.8S ribosomal RNA", at positions 35 to 154 of the family's 154-position model. The record is from RNAcentral.